UUGCCUUAGCUGUAUUUGCACAUCCCCUCCCCUAUGCUCAUUAUCUCACAUGCUCUCAUUUUCCUAAUCUCUUAAAUCACUUUGGAUAAUUUCUGUUCUGUUCAUGUUUGUAUAAUGCAUUGCAUAAUUUAAUCUGUGAACCUCCAAAUGAUACCAAAUUUAUUCAACUAGCAGCUGCCACACAGAUCAAGGUUCUUCCGAGACAGAGAAAGCAGGAAGAAAAUCUUUCCCCAUAGGAAUCAUUACCGUUUCUCUAAGAGAAGACAUUUGCAAACAACAGGAAGAAGUCCAGGAUCCAGUUUCUGCUUAGUAAAUAAAAGGAAUUAAGUAAAUUUCUACAUGCUUCAGAGCUUCUAUACCAUGAACACAUUCUGCCAUAAGUAUUUCUGAAUCUAAAGAACAGUCCUCAUCAACUGAAUCCAAGCAACUGCCAUCUAGUUCACCCUAGGGACAAUUUUGCAAACCCUAUAAACAAGAGUACUCUGACAAACCUCGUAGUUUGAUUUAACAAAAACCCUGCUGCAACCAGAAGAGUCAAAUCUUCGAACAACAUAUAGAAAUGUAAAAAGGUGAAGGUGCAACCAGAAAAGCCCAGCUGAACCAAGGGCGGUAAUCCGAUGCACUGAAAUAAACACUGGGGUGCUUCCCCUCAUGAAGGAGCACCCA
Molecule: long non-coding RNA, 666 nt
Organism: Corvus hawaiiensis (hawaiian crow)
Lineage: Eukaryota; Metazoa; Chordata; Aves; Passeriformes; Corvidae
Exons: 3
Source: RefSeq, a predicted model, not a curated record